Long non-coding RNA from Daphnia carinata, 892 nucleotides. RefSeq lists it as uncharacterized. The record is from RefSeq and is a predicted model, not a curated record. Lineage: Eukaryota; Metazoa; Arthropoda; Branchiopoda; Diplostraca; Daphniidae. The transcript is spliced from 3 exons.
AUGGAAUAUUCUCGAGCGUCUCUUUGAGAGGCUUUAAAUAUCGAUGGACAAUUUCCUCUUGUGAAAAAUUGCCAUAAAUGGAAUAAGCUAUUACAUUUUGGUCGAAACAAGUGGUUCGAAAUUGUUUUUCCACUGAUUUGUAAAAAAUGAUAACGGCCAGUACACUAGAAAAAAUGAAAAUGAAUCGAGGAAGAUGUUGAGUGAACCGAAAUCUCUUGUAGCAUAACAUGUCGAUGCUCAGCCCAAGUGAACUUGAAUGUGGAAGAAACUGAAGCCAAACGCAUUUUGGAGGAGGGUUUUCUUUACGCACAGACAACAUCAGAUUGCUCAACCUUCGGUUCUUUCCUCCACAUUCUUGUUGCUCAAAUCAUUCUUGUGUGCAACAUGCGUAUACGAAAGCCAGGAAAUAGCCUUUACUGCAAGUGAUUUGGUGCCGUGUUCCGAACAGGUAUUGCAGUGCGACAACUGGUAGCUGAAUAGAACAACUUGGAAGAUUCCAACAUGAAACGGUUUGCCUAUCUUUUUGAGGAUGGCAGAAAAAAAUGUGUCGUGGAAGAGGACUAAAUGUUCUAUUGUAUGGAAACAGCUUUUAUCAAGUGGUUAAAUAUGGAAAUUUCUCUGUCGAAUCCUGUACAUCCAGUGGACAUAUUUUCAAUCAACAGGUAUGAAAAUAUUGCUAUUUUUUGUUUUAAGGUGUUGUAUUUUCGCUGCUCGCAGGGAUUGUGGUGUUGAAGGGAAAUCGUUAGAUAAUUCGCAGAAAUUCAAAGAAAAUUUGAUUGCCGAAAUCAAAAGCAUUUCGGUGUCAUUGGAAACAGCAAAGAAUAUUUGGUAAAUGGCCACCGGAGAAACUCUAAGCGACUGCGAGCUGGGCCGGGACAUUUCGCGACGUACA